Molecule: long non-coding RNA, 23491 nt
Filed under: Citrus sinensis (sweet orange)
Lineage: Eukaryota; Viridiplantae; Streptophyta; Magnoliopsida; Sapindales; Rutaceae
Description: long non-coding RNA (CSIN_LNC000620)
Source: RNAcentral
AUCAUAGUUCAUUCAUAGCUCUCUCUCAUUCUCUUAUUCUUAUAUAAACCUCUCUUCUGCUGCGAUUUCUGAUCAUCAAAUCAAAUAAAGAUGGGUAUGGUGGUGGUGAUAUCCCUGCCGUUGAUCUUGUUCAGCCUAUUGCUUGGAUUUGGGUGCUUUUACUUGGGAAGAGCUAGAGGAAGACAAGAUAUCAGAACCAAUCCACAAGUUUUUGGGGUGCCAGCGCCUCCGCCAGAGUUGAAGAACGAAAAUAUUGUUUGGCAACUGAGAAAAUCAGUGAGAAAAUAAGAACUGAAUCUAAGGGUUUUCUAUAACAUCAUUUUCAUUAAUCACGUUAUUAAUAAUAUGUACAAUGCUGUUGCUAUUUAUACUAAGCUGAAGCUCAGCUCAGAUAGUUGUAAUUAGCUACAACUAAUUAACUAAUUCUAGCAACUAAUCAUAACAGCUUAAGUUAAUUAACACAUGCACAACUAUUUACAUAACCACCAGGCUCCAGCUGGCAUGCCAUGUCAUCAACUCGUAAUUGAAUGUGGCUGCUGCUGUGAUCCCCUGCUCUGCUGACCAUCUUGCAAAUAUGAGCUUCCUUAACAUCCCCCCUCAAGCUCAAUGGCAUGUUGAUGACAUUGAGCUUGAAUCGAAAAUAGUUAAACUUGAUAAAUGACAGAGCUUUAGUAAGGACAUCAGCAACUUGUUCUUCAGUAGGAAUGUAUCUUACUUCUAAUUCUUUUCUAACCACUUUGUCUCUAAUGUAAUGAACAUCCAAUUCAAUGUGUUUAGAUUUAGAGUGAAGAAUAAGAUUUCGGGCUAAUUCUCCAGCACUCUGAUUGUCACACCAAAGAAUUAGAGUUGGUAAUUGCAUAAUAUUAAGCUCUGACAGUAGGGAUUGCAACCAAGAGAGUUCUGAACUUGCUGAAGAUAGUGCCUUGUAUUCACUCUCUGUGUUGGACUUAGCUACAAUAACUUGCUUCUUUGUCUGUGUUGGACUUAGCUACAAUAACUUGCUUCUUUGAUGACCAGGAAAUCAGAUUAUUACCAAGGUAAAUACAGUAAGCCCCAAUAGAUUUUCGAUCAUCAACAUCACAUGCCAAGUCAGCAUCAGAGUAACAUGUUAGACCUGUAAUUCCAAGUGUUCCCUCAUUUUGAAUGUAUAAACCAUGAGUGAUUAUAUCUUGAAGAUACCUGAGAACUUUCUUGGAUGCUAACCAGUGCUGGAGUGUAGGAUUGCUAAGAUACUGGCUGAGUUUAUGUACAUAAUAUGCAAUGUCAUGCCUGGUGAGAAUUAAGUAUUGAAGUCCCCCAAUGAAGCUUCCAUAAAGUGCUGGUUCUUCAAAUUCUUGCCCCAGUGGACCCUUAACAUUUUUCUCCAGUUUGAAACCAGUACUGAAAGGUGUAUCUGACCUUUUGCAAUUUUGCAUUGAGGCUUUGCUUGACAAAUCCUUAAUAUAUUUCAUCUGUGAGAGAUGCAUUCCAUGAGCUGUGUAACAAACUUGUACUCCAAGAAAAUAGGCCACUAAUCCCAGGUCCUUGAGAGCAAAAACCUUAUUGAGUUUAAUAAUGAAAUCUUCAAGUAAUGCUGAGUUAGGGCCAGUAACCAAAAUAUCAUCAACAUUGAUUAAGACAAUAAUAAUGCCUUUUUCAUAAUGUUUAACAAAGAGAGAUGUGUCAGCUUGAGAAUUGAAGAAUUUCCAAGUAGUAAGGCAGCUUUUCAGGUUAUCAUACCAAGCUCUUCGAGCUUGUUUCAAUCCAUAUAGUGCCUUGUUAAGCUUGCAUAUGUAGUCUUCUUUGGAUACAAAACCCUCAAGCGGAAUCAUAUACACAUCCUCUGACAAAUCCCCAUUUAAAAAUGCAUUAUUGACAUCAAUUUGUCUAACCUUCCAACCUUGCAUGACAGUUAGGCUAAGAAUUAAUCUCAUUGUUAAGGACUUCACUACAGGACUGAAUGUUUCUGAAUAAUCAAUACCUGCAGUUUGAUGAAAUCCCUUGGCUACCAACCUAGCUGUAUAUUUUGAAACUGACCCAUCUGUGUUGUACUUGGUUCUGAACACCCAUUUGCACCCAACUAGUUUAUAGGAUGAGCACAAAGCCACAAGAUUCCAAGUUUUGUUUUUAAUCAUAGCAUUAUAUUCAGUCUACAUUGCUGCUUUCCGUUUGGGAUCAGAUAAUACUUCUGAAACAGUAAAUGGUUCCAGGCUAUUGUGAUUUGUUAAGUAGGCUUUUAGUUUGAAUAUACCAGCCUCUGCUCUAAUGAUCAUUUUAUGUGUGAAGAGAAUUAGUUUAGGUUGAGAUAAUUGUGUUGGUUGAAUUUGAGAGUGAGAUAUGAUGGGUUGUAAGGAUGAUGUAUUUUGUGUUGUAUCAGUUAGAGGUAUAAAGGGAAUUGGUUGAGUUGGUGAAGAAGUUAUGGCUGAAUGGGAUAAAGUAGCAGGUGGUGAGGGUUGAGAUGAUGUGUUGUGAGAGGGUGGUGAAGAUAUGGUAUCAAGGUGAUGAGAAUAUGGAUCAUUAUCUACAGUAUCGACUUCAAAGGUGUUUAAAUUGCUAUUGGAAACAUGAAUAAUAUACUGUUGAAAAAGAUUGUAUUGAAAUUCAGAAGAUUUGGAUGGAGAAGAUGAGUUGAAAAUAGAUGAAUAUGGAAAUGAGGUUUCAUAAAAAAAUAACAUGACUAGCUAUAUAGAUUUUACCAGAGGGAUUGAGACAUUUGUAACUCUUAUGCAAAGGACUAUACCCCAGGAAAAUACAUUUAGAUGUAUGAGAGUGAAACUUGUGUUGAUUGUAGUUUCUGAGAAAGGGAAAACAUAAACAUCCAAAUGUUCUUAAGAAUUUGUAAUCUAGAGAAAUAUGAUAAAUAGAUUCAUAAGGAGAUUUCAUUGAUAGAAUUGGGGUGGGUAAUCUGUUUAUGAUGUAUGUGACUGUAUGGAAAGAAUCCCACCAGAAUUUAAUAGGUAAAGUUGCUUGUGCAAGUAGAGUAAGACUAAGUUCAGUAAUAUAUCUAUGCUUUCUCUCUACUAUUCCAUUUUGGUUGUGAGUAUAUGUACAUGAAUGUCUAAAGUGAAUUCUCUAUGUGUGAAGAAAGUUAACAAAGGAUCUAAAUUCUCCACCUCAGUCUGAUUGAAGACAUUUUAUAGGUUUGUCAAGUUGUUUUUCAAUUUGGUUUUUGAAAAUUUUAAAGACUGACAAUGUUUCACUUUUGGUUUUCAAAUGAAAUAUCCAAGUAAAUCUUGUGAAACCAUUAACAAAGCUUAUAUAAUAUUCGUAGCCUUGUAAUGAAAUCACAUGGGUUGGUCCCCAUAAAUCAGUAUGCAAUAUUUCCAGGGGAGACUUUGUUUUGAUAUCAGUAGCUGAAAAAUGAAGCUUGUGCAUUUUUCCUAUUUUACAAGCAUUACAGAAAUCAAAGGUUUUAUUCUUAUGGACAAGAUUGAGAGAUGAACAUGAUUUGAUUACAUGAUUCAAGAUCUUAGAAGAUGGAUAUCCCAAUCUUUGAUGUAGUACAUAUGUACUUAACAAACACUUAGAGUUUUUACAGGAAGUUGCUGCAAUAUACAUGCAAGAGGUGUUAUUUGAAAGAGUAAAAUUGACAACUGAAAACAUUGAAAGAGGAGUGGUUGAUACAACUGACUCAACAACAUAGCUUUGAUUAGAAGUAGAAGAGACUGUCUUAUUAGAUGAAACCAAUAGCAAUUUGUAUAAACCUUUUUCAGCCUUGCCCUGCAGUAUGAUCAAAUUCCUCACCUUGUCCUUCACAAAACAAAAGUUAUCAGUAAACUCUAUCACAACAUCAUUAUCUUUUGUGAGCUUAGAGAUGCUAAUGAGGUUUUUAGUAAUUUGUGGCAUUAAAAGGAUAUCAUCUAAUUUAAUAGUUAAUGAGGCAUUAUUGGAGUUAUAUGAUUUCAAUGCAGCACUUCCAAUAUAUGUUAUAUUCAAUCCAACAUCAUUGCCAACAAAAAGUUUAGAUGCACCUGCAAAAGCUUCAGAAACGUGCAUAUUGUUGAUAUCAUUUGUCAGAUGGUGUGUUGCACCACUGUCUAGAUACCAGUUUGCAUCAGCAGGUCCCUCCAUAUUAGCCAAAUAUGCAAAUUUUGGAUUUCUGUUUGGUGGUGGUCUGUAAGCUCCAGAUGCAAUAAACUCUUUAAGUUUCCAGCAAAUAUUAACAAUGUGACCUGUUCUGAAACAAAUUUGACAGGUUGGCUUAUAGACAUUCCACUGAGGCUUAGUGUGUCCAGGUGGUCUGCUAUUGUUAAAUCCACCAUUUCCAGCAUUUUGAUUCUAGUUACCUCCUCCUCCACCUCUCUAAUUAUCUCCUUGAUAAGCUUUGAACCGAUGAUUGGUGCCAUAAAAAUUUCCAUUGUUAGCAUUAAAUCCAAAGCCUCUAUAACCUCCUUUGUAGCCAGCAUUGUUAAUGUUUCCAUUGUUUCCAUAGCCAGAAUUAUAUCCAAAGCCACCAAAACCUUUUCCUCCUGACAUAUUUCCCCUUUUAUAACCUCUGUUGUGAGCAAGAUUAGCCUCAAAAUUUUGUUUCAUAUUUGUAUUAGCCAGCAUAUGAGUUUGUUGUUCAAUCCUAGCUUCUUGAGUUAGGAGCAUAGCAUAAGCUUUGUUUCCAUUCAUUUUCCCCACUCCUACUUGUCCAGUAAUGUAGGUAGCAACAGAGUUAUAAUCUGGACCUAAGCCAGAGAGUAUAUGCAGGAUUAAAUCAUCAUCACUUAAUGCAUUUCCUGAUGCAGCCAUAUUAUCGGCAAUAUUUUUCAUCUUAAUGAAAUAAUCAGUAAUUUUUAGAUCAUCUUUCCUAGUUGAGUUCAUCAUAUAUCUCAAGUGCAAAAGCCUAGAUUUAGAUUGUGAUCCAAACUGAACUUCAAUAGCUUUCCAUACCUCACAAGAAGUCUCUAGAUUGAAGACUAAACUAAUAAUACCUUCACUCAUUGAAGAAAGCAACCAGCCAAGAAGCACCUGAUCUUGUGAUCUCCAAGUUACAAAGUCUGGAUUCUCUACAGAUCUCAGAUCAUCUCUAAUUCUUUGAGCAAUGUGUGAAGGAGGUGGAGUGGUUGAGUCAUCAAUGAAUUUCUCAAGUCUGUUGCCACGAAUUAAAGCAAGAACUUGAGAUCGCCAAAUCAAAUAAUUGGAUUAAUCUAGCUUAAUAGGUGUAUUGAAAGUAAAUGUCACAUUUAUUGAGUUAACAUCUGUGUGAUUGACUGGCGCUUGAGAAGAAAAAGAAGCUAGAUGGACUGAAGCCAUUGCUACUAGCUCUGAUACCAAGUUGAAGAACGAAAAUAUUGUUUGGCAACUGAGAAAAUCAGUGAGAAAAUAAGAACUGAAUCUAAGAGUUUUCUAGAACAUCAUUUUCAUUAAUCAUGUUAUUAAUAAUAUGUAUAAUGUUGUUGUUAUUUAUACUAAGCUGAAGCUCAGCUCAGAUAGUUGUAAUUAGCUACAGCUAAUUAACUAAUUCUAACAACUAAUCAUAACAUCUUAAGCUAAUUAACACAUGCAAAACUAUUUACAUAACCACCAGGCUCCAGCUGGCAUGCCAUGUCAUCAACUCGUAACUGAAUGUGGCUGCUGCUGUAUGAAAAAAUAAUAACCAGGAUGCUUGAAAUACAUAAAUCGUGAGCUGUUGAUUCUGAUACAACAGUUUCAUCCGAGUUUCUAGUAGAUGGUAUAUGGCUAGAACUCUUUUCAGUAUGAGUUUGAAUUCGUUCCUCCAAUGAGGCUUGUGGUGUUUCACUGGAUUUAAGUGUCCUUUCCAGGUCAUAAAGUGUUAUAGAUUUUCCUUUGUCUGCAACUCCUUCACAGCAAGUUAAAUGUGGAGUGAAAUCCUAAGAUUGUAAAGCUGGUAACUUAUUUUGAAUUGAGCUGUUUUGUUUUGUCUUUUUAUCCCACUCAUCCAAAGAUGCUAGUCUUGCCGUUUGAAGCUGUACAGAAUAAUUAGAAGAGUCAACAAAAGGAAAGCACAUUUCAUCAAAGAUCACAUGCCUUGAUAUAUAUAGUCUCUUAGUUGUCGGAUCAAGACAUUUAUAACCUUUUUGGUUUAAGCUAUAUCCAAUGAAAACACAUGGGUAUGUUUUCUUUGUAAAUUUACUCUUACCAUACUUCUUGAGAUAUGGAAAGCAUCUACAUCCAAAUACCCGUAAUGAUUUGUAGUCUGGCUGUUUAUUGUAUAAUUGGAAAAAUGGGCUCUUUUUCUUCAACACUGUGGAUGGCAUUUUAUUUAUCAGGUGUACAGCAGUGAGAAAUAUAUCAACCCACAAAUUUUGUGGUAAAUUUGCUUGAUACAUGAGGGUGAGACCUGUUUCUACCACAUGUCUAUGCUUUCUCUCAGCUACUCCAUUUUGUUCCGGAGUGUGUGGGCAUGAAAUUUGAUGGAGAAUUCCACAUUUUUUCAAGUGAUUUUUAAAACUUCCUGAUUGAAAUUCACCCCCUCCAUCACUUUGGAAUACUUUGAUUCUCCUGUCAAAUUGGUUUUCUACAAAACUUUGAAAUUCCAAGAAACAAUUAAAAAAAUCUGAUUUAAAUUUCAAGGGAUAUAGCCACGUAAAUCUGCUACUGUCAUCAAUAAAAAUAGCAUAAUAAUUAAAUCCUUGAGUAGAUGAGAUUGGGGCUGGUCCCCAUAAGUCACAAUGAAUUUUCUCAAGAGGAAAGUUCGCAACUUUAUUGGAAGAAUUAAAAGGUAGUUUGCAACUUUUUGCCAUUUGACAAUUAAUACAAAUAUUUUCUGAUUUUUUCCAACUCGAUAUAUCAAUGAGUUGUUUUUCUUGUAAAAUUUUCAGAAACUUUUCAUGAGGGUGCCCCAUUCGUCGAUGCCAAAUGUCAAAAUUUGCUUUAUUUCCUUGAAUUGAUGUGUAUGCUUGCUUUGCUUUCUCCUCGAGAGCAUACAAUCCUCCUUGUUUAUGUCCUUUCGCACGCGUCUUUCCCUGCUUGUCCUUAAUCAAGAAACCAUUUGAUGAGAAAACAAUAACACAUGAAUUGUCAGUUGUUAACUUCCCUACUGAUAGGAGAUUCUUUUUAAUAUCGGGAACAACAAGGAUAUUUUUUAGGUUCAAGCAACCGUGAUUGGUAUUUAACACAGUAUCACCUAUGUGUGUAAUUUUAAGAUCCUUACCAUUACCAACAUAUAAAGAAUCAUUUCCUUUAUAUGGAAUGAUUUUUCUUAUAUUACCUGAGUUGUUGGUGAUGUGAGUUGUUGCUCCAGAGUCAGCAUAGAAUGUAGGAUCAUCAUCUUCGUCAUUUAUAUGCAUGGCAGCAAGAGCAUGAGGAAUUUCCCCAGAUUGAUACGAGUGAUCAAACCUGCUUCGACAUUCUAAAGCUGUAUGUUUAGGUUUAAAGCAAAUUUGACAUAUAGUUUUAUCACCUGGGUCCACGUUUUGUUGAUUGGCAUUCUUUAUGUCACUGUUGUUACCAGCAUGAAAUUUCUGAAAAUUGUUAUUGUUCUGUUGACUUUGGUUCACAAAAUUUUGAUUUCCAUUCCUUCCUGCUGGCGUAAAACCCCUUCCCCUUGAGUUGAAGCGACCCCCCUGAUUUCUACCUCUUCCUCUCUGGCUGAAAAAGGCUUGUUCAUGGUUGACGAAUUGCUUCUUAUCUUCUUGCUCAUUGCAUAACAUCUGUUCAUGUCCUUGCAAGGCUAAAACAAACUGAUUAUAUGUAGGGUAUGGAGGUUUUGCCAGCAUUGCUACCUUAAAGUCUCGAUAUUCUGGUCCAAGUCCACGUGCCAAUUGAAAUACUUUAUCGACAUCGUCCACUGGUUUCUUCACGGCAGUCAAACUAUCACAAAUAGUUUUGAAUUUUCGAAUGUAUUCAUCUAUAGUCAGCGAUCCUUUCUUAAGAUUCAUUAGACGAUCGGUGAGGUAAACAAUCUUUUCUUUUGUCAUGGGCAGCAGCUGCACUUCAAGAGACUUCCACACUUGGUGGGCUGAUUCUGCUCCGACUAUCAUCCCUAGCACUUCUUCAGACAUGAUUCCCAAUAACCAGGAGGUUAGAAGGCCAUCAUUGUUAACCCAAGUUUCAUAUUUAGGAUUGGGAACGCUUUUGCCAUCAUCGUCUUCCAUCUCAGCCUCUGGUUUCCCAACUCCUGUUAGAUGGUGCAUCAAUCCAAGGCUAUGCAGUAACGGAAAUACUUGAGAUUUCCAAAGCAAGAAGUUUGAGGGGCUGAGCUUUAUAGAUAUGAGGCUAGCACAUUGGUGAAAGGAUGAGAUAGAGAGUGAUGGUUCUUUGUUGGCCAUGUUCAUUAUUCUCACGAAAGCUCUGAUACCAUGAAAAAAUAAUAACCAGGAUGCUUGAAAUACAUAAAUCGUGAGCUGUUGAUUCUGAUACAACAGUUUCAUCCGAGUUUCUAGUAGAUGGUAUAUGGCUAGAACUCUUUUCAGUAUGAGUUUGAAUUCGUUCCUCCAAUGAGGCUUGUGGUGUUUCACUGGAUUUAAGUGUCCCUUCCAGGUCAUGAAGUGUUAUAGAUUUUCCUUUGUCCUCAACUCUGUAAUCCUCUGCUCUGCUGACCAUCUUGCAAAUAUGAGCUUCCUUAACAGCCAGGCACAGGCAGUGAAGCUACGACAUUCACUUACCCAUCCCCUCCUGCUGCUGCUGCUACUAAAUUCAAGCCUGACAAUUCAGCCAACGUCUAGACUCUGAUUAAUUCAUUGCUUUGCUUCGUCAGCAUGUGCAGAUAUUGUUUUUCCCCUCUUCUGCUCUGGGUGUGUACAAAUGUUACUGUGUCCCUGGGAGUAACACUCUGCGUUCUUCUAAAUUGAAUAUGUUGAUACAAUUUUAUGUUGAGUUUGCGUCAGCAAAAGUGCUGUGGAUAAUAAUAAUCCGGUUAGGGUGGGGAAAGAGACACUAAGAUUUCAUCGUAUUGGUUAAGAUGCAAUGUAUUAUAUUGUUUUUAUUAUGCACAUACGAGAGUUGAAUUUGGUCAAUUCUGAUACAUUUUUAUUUUAUUUUUUUAUUUCUUUUUUUAACGACUUUUCUUUGAUAGAUGGAACGACUUAAAAUGCAUGCACGACUGGAGGAAAAAAACAAAUAUUGACCGACUCUGGCCAGCUUCUUCUUCUACAUAUUCUUUAACUUCAACAAAACUAUAGAUUCAAAAAUUAGCAUUAAAUUCUCCUUAUUCUGGGUUUGUAAAUUGUAACGAGAAAUGAAGAUGAAUUUUGGAGUGGGAUCGUUGAAGCUGCUGCUUUCUUCCUCACUACUAUUUGCUCAUCUCUUCCUGCUAAUUUGUUUAUCCAACGCUCAAAAUAACACCACUGCUACGACCGACCCUGCUGAAGGUAUGUAUAUCCAUUUUCUUUAACUAAUUUAAUUUCUUCUCGUUAAUUAAUUCUCUUGCUAGCCAGCCACCGCCCGCCGUUUUCUUUUCUUUAAUUUCUUUUUCUUUUUUCUUUUCUUUGUUUAAUUUGACAUAAAUUAAUUAUGUGUAUGUGCAAUAGCCUGAUUCUUUUCUGAAAACAAUUAACUUUAUAUGCACACUGAGCUGCAGAAAGUCAGAAACCUAGCCAGUAGCUAAAAUAUAUGAAGCUUUUAGUUCAUUAUUUGAAAUUACUAUGUUAGAUGAUAAUUAAGCUAGCAGUGUAGUAAUAUAGAGUUCAUUACUUUACAGUCAGGGAUGUUGGGUCUGUGACUUCUGUUUCAAUAAAAUAUAUUCAUCCCAAUAUCAUCAAUAUAACCCGUAACCGUAAAGAUAUAGAGAUUAGGAUUCAAUAUUGUCCGCCUUGGCCGUACAGCAGAUAUAUAUAUAUAAUUUUUUUUUUCCCCCAAUAACUAUUGGUUCAUUGUUUAGCAAAAACAUAAAUUAAAACUGAACUUUUAUCCAGGAUAUAAAUAUAUGUGUUUCAUUUUGUCCAAUUGGAGGUGUUAUUCUUUUAACUUAGACUAAAAUUUUAUAUUUAUAUAAUUCUGAGUCCUAAAAUUCCAAAAAAAAAAAUCGUGGACUUUUUCUGUUUCCAAAAAGUGAAAGUAGUUGUGCAAUUUCAAUUUAUUUUCCUAAGUCAUAUAUUUCACAUUAUUAUCUCUUUAGACUUCAAACAAACGAGGCUACAUAUAUAUAAAGACCUUUAACUAUUUAACUUCAAUGAUUUCUUCAUCUAAUGGGAUCACUUUUUUUUUUUUUCAAUAUAAUAAUUAUAAUAAUUGAAAUUUUCACAUUGAGAUAUAUCACAGAUACAUACAAUAAUUAAGGACUAUCUUCGCUGCCUGGUUUCAAGCCCCUAUUAGUCAAGCAUGUGGAUCCUUCUUAAUAAAUGAGUUGAAACAUUCGGAAAAAGAGUGAUCCUAAACCUUCCAAAUUAUAUCCCAAACAGUACGAUAUAAAAAAAAAAAAAGGCGAUAACUUAAUUAAUUUAGAGGCAGGACUGAAUUUUGGCAUUCUUUGCUAGAAACUCUUAAUUUAAUUUUUAUCAAAUUUGUUAACUGUGUUUCUACUUUUACAUCGUACACGAGGGAAUUCAAAAUCUUCUAAUUUAAAAUUCGUUGUACAUAUUCACUCUUUAAUUAAUAAUAUAAAAACAGAUAUUGAUUUUAUAUAUAAUCAUAUCUAAAGUGCAUUAACUCUAAAGUGUACAUAUAUAGUCAUUCUCUAAUGUGUGAGCUCUCAUUUUUUUUUUUUUUAAUACGAACACGCUGUUAAAUUGUGCAAUUUAAUAGAGUCAAUAUAAACACGCUUAGGUUGGCAAAAUAUGGGCUUAUGUAAGGUUUUUCCAAGCCUAAGCCCAUGUCCAUAUUGUAGAUAACAAGCCUAGAUCGGUCUAAGUUUGGAUGGACAUGCCCUGAGCCAGACUUGGGCUUCUUCCAUUAAAUAUAAAAUAUUUUUUUAAUAAAGUAAAAAAUAUUUAAAUAAAAAAUAAUUAUCCAAUAUAUAAUAGAAUAAUAGUUUAAUACACAAAAUAUUAUUAACACAACAUAAUAAAUCACAAAUACUAAUAUGAAAAAAAUAUUAAUUUAAUAUUUUGAGUUUUUUAUUUAAAUUUAAUUUAUUUUUUUAUAAAUUAAAAAGGUAGGCCCUUAUUUAGAUCCAAUUUGUGUCGACUUUAUAUUUUUCAACCCAUUUUCAGGCCCAACUCAUGUCGACCAGACUUCAGGGCCGUGUUUUUGUCAACUCUAGACACGCUACUAAAUCACAUGGUUUAGCAGUGUGUUCACAUUAAAAAAAAAAAGAACCCGAACCUGAAAAUGAUUCUCAGGUGCAAGCGCCCUCUUUUUUUUUUUCUUUUUUUAAUGCAGACACGUUUUUAAACCGUAUGGCUUAAAAGAGUAAAAAAAACUAACUCUCUUAAAUACCAUGGUUUAAAAGCAUGUCGCAUAAAAAAAUGGCACCCACACUAGAGAACGACUACAUCACGUUAAAAUAUAUAAUAACAUCUAUGCCUUAUUCAAAAGCAUAUUUGAAAUUUGCACACUUCACAUCUCACUAUAUAUGCAUAUAUCUUAAAUAUAUACAUAUGAGCAUAAACGUGCUUAAAAUGCAAGUCAUGCAGCACUGCACGUCGUGGUCCAACCUCAACUAAUUGGAAAAUGAAUUGUAUGAAAUCCUGAGAAAACCUAGAAAAAUUUGGAUAAAUAAGAAAAUAGUGAACUUGCAACUCAAUGAGUAGAUACAAAUAUAUAUAUUAAAAUAAAGUAGUGCACUGAUAAUUGUACACAAUCAUAUGACAUAAUUCUACACUGAACAUAAUACAUAAGCAAACAUAAAAUCAUAAAUGAGAAAACUGCACUAAAUAAUACCCAGGGGAAAUAAUUGUCGCACUCGUCGGGAUUAUCAUCGCGUGAGUAUAGUGAGGAAUAACCUCUUAAUAUCCAAUGGAAUUUAACUACAUCACACAUGUAUAGUACUCUAACUCUCAAUAUGUAUACACAAAGCACUUAACAAGAAGAGUACACACAUGGUGCUUGGCAAUCACGUUUAGGGACUCAAUCAAUCAUAUAAUGAGCAUACAUAUAAUCAUGAUAUAAUUCUAAAUCAUACUAUUAAAUCAUAUCACAAAUCCUGACUCAAUUACUGUUUUGUUUUGUGGGGCUUCUGUUAAUUCAUAAGAACUUAAAUUUCUUUUAAACACAAGAUUAAAAAAUUAUAGAAAUUUUCCAAUUUAAAAUUUUAAAGUGCGAGAAAGUCCAAUAAAUCUUUUAAAUCCUACAGUAUUAAAGUGUUAAUUUCAUAAUACUUUAAAGAUGUGUAAUUUUAAAAAAUUUUCAGACCUUUUUCACACUUUAAAAUUUUGGACUAAAAAACUACUAUAAAAAAAUUAACGACUGAUAUAAAAACUCAAAAACUCACACGUAUGCUAAAAAUUAUAACAUAACUGUUCAUACUUUCUAAAUCCAUUAUCCACUAAUUCUCGAAAUAUAAUUCUAAUUGUUGAAUUCCAUGUCCCCUCAACUUUCCCGUAUUAGCUUCCAUUAUUACUUGAUUUUCACUCUUGGCUUCUUAAUUUCUUUUCUCCUUAUAUUUUCUUCUUUCUAUUUUAUCUCUUCUUUUCUUUUCUUUUCUUUCUUUCUCUCGUUUUCUUUCAAUUUCUUCUAUCUUCCAAUUGUCUUUUUCGGUUCCAUUAUGAAAAUGGUGAGAGCUGCUUCAAUUCUUCACUUUAUAUGUGCCCACCGUAUAUAAGCAUGCAUGACAAGCACGCAGGUGAAGUAUGCGUGUGCUCUAAUUAAGAGUCUGUUUGGGAUUGAGGUACUGCAACUUUUAAGCUACAAUUGUUGUAAAAAAAAAUUGUAAUUAUAAAAUAAAAAUUAAUAAUAUAUAGUGAAUAUAAUUUUUAAAUAAUAAUUUUGACAAAAUUAUUAAGAUAUAAUAUAUUUUUCAUUAUAUAAGUGAAAAAUCAUAUCAAGAUAGUUUAAAAGAUACAGCAGUUAAUGUUUACCAAACACUUUAGUGCUAUAACUUUUAAGCUACAGCUGUCCAAUCUCAACCCCAAAUGCACCCUAAAGCAAACAGCUUGCUGUUGCUUUUGAAAAUCAGCCGCGUUUGGCUUACAAGCAUGCAGGUGCAUCACAAUAUGUUAAUGAAUUUAUGGAAUUAAAUGAUAUCAUUUGGUAACAAACUAGCAUGCAUGUGUUUGAUGAGCAGUGAGGGCAUUGAACUCAAUACUGCAGCAAUGGGAUGCACCGGCCGUGCCAUUAUGGAACAUAAGUGGAAACCCAUGCAGUGGAUCUGCACUCAAUGCAACUGAUUCUGAAUUUGAGAGCCCAAAUAACAAUCCUGCUAUUGUUUGUAACUGCACCUUUGACAAUGGUGCUACUUGCCACAUUACUAAACUGUAAUGCUCUCUUAGUAUAUCUCUGCGCUUGUUAAUUAAUAUUAAUUUCUAAAAUGGUUGAUGCAUCUGCAAUCUAAUGGUUUGUUUUUUUUUUUUUCACAGGAGAGUAUAUGGACUAAACAAAAAAGGGGUGAUUCCUGAAGAGCUAGUAACUUUGCAAUACCUGACAGUUCUGUAUGGAUUUGUCACUUAUAUAUAUUAUCUGUCAUUCAGUUUGUAUGUAUAAAUCAAAUUUACGUAAUCAACAUGAUUAACAAUUUCUCUUUGAAUUUUGUAGGAAAAUUGAUCAAAAUUUCUUCACUGGCCCCUUGCCUUCAUUUAUUGGAAAUUUGUCUCGAUUGAUGUUUCUGUAAGUAAUGAAAUUGGCUUUUUCUAAUAUUCUCUGAUUUGAUUUUUGGAUUAGGCUGCAAAUUCUUUAUUCUUUGUGUGUUGUGUAACGGAGUGUUAUAUUUUUGUGUACAGGUCAUUUUCCCACAAUGACUUCUCGGGGCCUGUCCCCAGGGAGCUGGGAAACCUUAAGGAGUUAACUGUUCUGUAAGAUUGGAAUUUCAUUUUUAACAAUUUCAUUUUUAUUUUUAUUCUUCUUCUUCUUCUUUUAAAUCAGUGUAAAAAUUUUAAUUUCAAAUUGCAGUGCUUUUGGUACCAACAAUUUCUCAGGAGCGCUCCCUCCAGAACUUGGCAACUUAGCCAAACUUGAGCAACUGUAGUUUCUAAAUUUCUUUCUUUCUUUUUACAUAUUUGAUCAUUAUCAUUUUUUUUUUCAAUUUAGCAAAGCUGCAGGUUUAUGAAACAAAGUAAUUUUCAAUUGAUAAAUUCAACAGUUACAUAGACAGUUGUGGGGCCGGUGGUGAAAUUCCCUCCACAUUUGCUAAACUUCGCAAUAUGCAAACUCUGUAAGCAAAGUUUUUUACAUAUGACAUUUUGUUUCUCUCCGGCAUAAAGAUUGUGCCGCCUAAAUUGAUUAAUUUGUUAAAUUUCAGGUGGGCAUCAGAUAAUCCUUUUACAGGCAAAAUACCAGACUUCAUUGGCAAUUGGACUAAGCUUAAGUCCUUGUAUGCUUCGUAAAACUCCUUGACUAUAUACAUUAUCUGUGUUCUGUGUAGGGCAUUAAAGAUUUUGCUUGGCUUCUGAUAGUUUUCCUAACAUGUUUGUCAAAAUGUUGCUGUAGGAGAUUUCAGGGGAAUUCUUUUCAAGGUCCUAUCCCAUCCAGUUUGUCUAAGUUGGCUUCAUUAGAAUCCUUGUGAGUAAAUCUUUUCCUGACAAUCUCUUGGUCUCUCAUUCCCUCUUUGGAAGCAUGAAUCAUAUCCGUGAUGUUUGAAUUGAUUGUUUAGACAAAUGAGCGAUAUAUAUAACGUGAGUUCAUCUCUUGAUUUCGUUAUGAGUUUGAAGAACUUAACUGACUUGUAAGUAUACUUCCUAUAUAUUUCAUUGUGUUUGGCAGCCUUCUCAUUUUGACUCUUAUUAGUUAUGAGUUGGUUUUUUGUUCUUCUACUCCAUAGGUCCCUAAGAAAUGCUCUGAUCACUGGUACUAUUCCAUUUGGAAUUGGAGAGCUUCAAAUGUUACAGAUAUUGUAAGUUGAUAUUAAGAAAUAAAUUAUAUAGUGCGACUUUCCUUUUCUCAUUUUGAUAUAUAUUUUUCCCAAAAUUUUUAUCUAUAUUUUGCAGGGACUUGAGUUUCAACAACUUAACAGGCCAAAUCCCAGCAACUUUGUUCAAUAUCGAUUCUCUUGAAUACUUGUAAAUUCUUUGAAGCUUUCCUUCAUUAAUUCAAGAUUUUUACUUUUGGACUUUGGCCAUUGUUUUGUUAUUGCUGAUGCUGCUUACGCUGCUUUCAAUGGCCAGGUUUCUUGGAAACAAUAGUUUGUCAGGAACACUUCCUGAUCAAAAAAGUGAAAACCUUCAAAAAAUGUAAGCUUUGGUUCAGCUUUCUGAUUUUAUUGAAAGAAAAAUUCUAGAAAUUCAUUCCUAUGCUUGCUCCUCAAUGUGCCCUUAUACCCACAGAUAAACACUGAUUUUCUCCUCAGUACUUGCAAUUCAAACCAUGAGAAUAUACGUUGCAUGUUUUGAUUUGAAAGUGUUUUAGAUUUAGGCCAGUGAUUAUCAUCUUCCAUGCAUGCAUCAGCUGUGACUUCUGGCUUCUUUCUCUGGGAACAAAACAAUAUACUCAGCCAGGUUUUUUAUUUGUCUAACAUAUAUAUACGUUGGUUCACAUGUUUGAACUUGUUUACUAGUGCUUAACAAAAUUUUUCCUGCAGAGAUUUAUCUCAUAAUCAUCUAUCAGGAACUUUUCCAUUGUGGGUGAAUUCAGAAUUACAAAUGUAUGUCUCUUAAACUAUGAUAAUGCUCCGUUCAUCUUCAUUUUCUAGAAUUGCCUCUUUGUGCUGGAGUUCAGACCUUGUCAAGCUUAUUGCUCAUACUAAACCAAUGGUCCUAGUUUCUUUACUUUUAUCAUUGUACUAUAACAGUUGUAUGAGAAUUUCAUGAAGUCUCUUGCCCUUGCAUCUCUGUCCAAAAAUUUUACAAUUAAUGCAUUGCAUGGAACUGUAUAGGAAUCUGGCAGUGAACAACUUCAAAUUUGACAUAUCAAACAUAAGGUGAGUUUUGGUCCUUUACUUUUCCUUUAAUCAUGUUAACAGAUAAUGUGAACUAAUUGUUCUCUGUGCUUGCCAGUGUCUUUCCAGGAUUGAACUGUCUUCAGAGGAACUUCACAUGCAAUAGAAAUGCUCCACAAUGUAAGCUGCCUUCUCUGUGCUGUUUGCAGUACCAUAUUUUCAUAAGCUAUUGUGGCUCCACACUUAAGAAGAAAGAACGCUUGUCUAACUAUACUUCUGAAUUGCUGAGGAAAAAACUUUAAUAAGAGCAGGAAGUAGUACAGAAGUUUUAAAUAUGACUUCAGGUAGCUUUGUUGCAAGUGGGGAUAAUUUUUGUUACCACUGUCAGUCGAAAUUGUAGAGUAGUUACAUUGUAAAUUUGGUGUAUUAAGCCAUCUUGGCUUUAAAAAGCUUUGAUGUGAUAAAGUGAGUUUGCAUGUGAUGAGAAUUGAAAAAUAUUUGUAACGUGCUGGAUGUGUAAAUAAAAAAAACACUGCCUGAAUGAUUUCCUAUUACCCAGUUAUUGACCUUUAUGCAAAAAAAUUGUUGAAAUUUGAUGUCGGAAUUCAAUCUGAAAAUAGCUAGCGAUUUUUGUCUUUGCAUUUGCAGAUGCAAACUUCUCAAUCAAAUGUGCUAGUCCAGAAAUGAGAGCUGAUAACAUAGUGUAUGAGGGUGAUAACUCAUAUCUUGGCGCAUCGGCCUUUGUUGUGACCAAUACAGAAAAAUGGGCAGUUAGUAAAGUGGGUCUGUUUAAUGGAAGAGAAAAUGCAUCUUAUGUGCUAAACACUCAAGAUCAAGUGACGGGCACCAGGACUCCAAAGCUUUAUCAGACGUCAAGGAUAUCCGCCGGAUCACUUAGAUACUAUGGCCUGGGUCUUGUGAAUGGACCUUAUAAUGUAAGCUUGUUAUUCGCAGAAACAAAUUUUCCUGAUCCAAGCACAGAAAGGUGGGAGAGUCGUGGAAGGCGUGUUUUUGAUAUCUAUGUUCAGGUAAACAAAUGCCCUGAACCAAAAAUUUGGAGCCGGAGAUCAUGUGAUUCCGAGAUUACAAUCUCUCUCUCUCUCUCUCUUUAUGCAUUGAGAAAUAAUAAUUCUAUCUCUAAUUGUCGAUCUUCUAGGGAACUCUCCGGUGGAAGGAUUUUGACAUAUCAAAGGAGGCGGGAGGGCCUAACAGAGCUAUUAUAAAAAACUUCAGUGCUACUGUGUCAGAAAACCAUCUCGAAAUUCACCUAUUUUGGGCUGGUAAAGGGACCUGCUGCAUACCUAAACAAGGUAAUUAUGGACCAGCAAUUUCAGCUCUCAGUGUCGUUUCAGGUAAAGCAUAUGAUUCGAGUGAAUCUUCAUUUAAGAUGGAAUAUAAUAAAUAAAAUGGCUUACAUGCUUCUCUGCUCCUAAUAACUGAGUUUUUACUGCUCAGCUUUCAAACCAUCUGUAAGUGGAUUACCCCCAAGUACUCCGGGGAAUAAGAACCACACAGGGUUGAUUGUUGGCAUUGCAGUACCUCUUGGAAUUUUGGGCUUGAUAGUGAUAUCUAUAAUGUUCUACUUGUGGAGAGAAAAAGACAACGAUGAUGAGGAAGGUAAGAAGAGUCCGUUGACAAUUUAACAAUAUGUAAUAGGAGUUGUAGCAAGCUUGUUCAUGAAACUCAAUGAAUUUGUAAUUCCAUAUUGGUAGAUGUUCCACUUAAUUCAUCUUUUGUCAUAUAAAUCCUUCAUUAUUUUGUAAUUUUGAUAUCACAAACAGUUAUGGUAUCCCAUCCUAUACUCUGUCCAUAAUUUUUGUCUUGGUUUGGGCCUGCAGUGCUAGUUGGGAUAGGCUCUAAACCAAACAUUUUCGGCUAUGCUGAGUUGAGAUCUGCAACAAAAGACUUUAACCGUUCAAACAAGCUUGGAGAGGGAGGAUAUGGACCUGUGUACAAGGUAACAGCUAAUUCAUAGUUGUCUUGCAUCCUGGCUUUGCCAUCAAUGGGUGAUCAUAGCCUGACAUUGCAACUAGAAAACAAAGCAAUUUUCACUAGGAUGUAGGGGAUAUUUUUCAAAUUGUUAAAUGUUGUACUUGACAGGGUACUCUAUCUGAUGGGAGAGUAAUAGCUGUGAAGCAACUUUCAAUAGCAUCUCACCAAGGGAAGAAUCAAUUUGUAAAUGAGAUUGCUACCAUAUCUGCAGUGCAACAUCGCAAUCUUGUGAGAUUGUAUGGAUGCUGCAUUGAAGGAGCCAGGCGCCUCCUUGUUUAUGAGUAUCUUGAAAACAAAAGCCUCGAUCAAGUAUUGUUCGGUAUGAUUAUCAAUUCAUCUUACUACUAAUAAGUAGUAGAAAAUAGCGCAAACGCCGUGUUUUAACUUGGUUGCUGAGGCAAAGAAUUCAAAGAAGAAAGUGCUGAGUCACUGACUUUUGGAAAUAGCAUGAUCUAUUUUGUAAUCUUAAAUCCAGAAUAUAUUGUUUAGACAAUGUCCAUAACUGCAAAUUAGCCACAAUCACUAUCCUAAAGCUGAUUGACAAUGUCUCAGUGAGACCUCAUGCAGAUAAAUGAAUUGUCAAUUUGUCCUUCUUUAAAAUGAUCAAAAUCACUUUCAGAUUGUAUAAUCUUAACUCCAUAAAUUUCUAACCACUGCAGCCAACAUUUCUGCAGGAGACAAUGAAUUGCAUCUGGAUUGGCCUACCAGGUUCAGCAUAUGCUUGGGAACAGCAAGAGGGCUGGCUUAUCUUCACGAAGAAUCCAGGCCUAGGAUUGUACAUCGAGAUGUCAAAGCAAGUAAUAUUUUACUUGAUGCAGAGCUCUGCCCCAAGAUAUCGGAUUUUGGAUUGGCAAAGCUGUAUGAUGACAAGAAAACCCACAUCAGCACAAGAGUUGCAGGGACCGUGUAAUCUCCUUUAACAUUUCUUCUUACCAUUCUUCCAAAAAUGAUAAUUCCAUAGUGCAUAAUACAGGCCUUAUCUUCCAAUUUUUGGAUACAAUGGAGUUUGGAGAUUUUGAUCGAUAACUAUUGAUCUUGUAGUGGAUAUUUGGCACCGGAGUAUGCAAUGCGCGGACACUUGACAGAGAAGGCCGAUGUUUUCAGUUUUGGCGUUGUUGCGUUGGAGAUCAUAAGUGGAAGAGCAAGCUCUGACAAAAGUUUGGAUAUGGAAAAGAUUUAUCUUCUCGAAUGGGUGAAGAAAAUAAUCUUGAACUUAAUUCUGCUUUCUUCCUUUCUUAUCUCUGCAUUCUUCUGGUUAAAGAAACUUAAUUUUUUAAAUCUUUAUCUGAAUUAUUGUCUAUAUGAUGUUUCUAGGCUUGGAAUCUCCAUGAAAAUAAUCAAAGUUUGGGGCUUGUAGAUCCUACAUUAACAGAGUUUAACGACAAGGAAGCUCUUCGGGUGAUAGGAGUAGCUCUCUUGUGCACUCAAACAUCACCAAUGAUGAGGCCACCAAUGUCACGCGUUGUGGCCAUGCUUGCUGGGGAUAUAGAAGUUGGCACAGUUGUUUCAAAGCCAAGUUAUUUGACAGGUUGGGAUUUUAAAGAUAUAACAGCAAGCUUUUUGAACGAAGACACGCCAACGCCUUCAUCAUCUAAUAAAAGAAGUAACAGCAAGAAGAAAAGCCAAAGAGAAAAUCCAGUUGACGAUCAUAGUGAAGGAAUUGAUGCAUUACUCUUCCCAGUAAAUGUCACACAGCUAGCUGUUAUCAUAGCAGAAGGGAGGUGAGAAAUAUUUUUGUCGCUCGCUGCUGUGAUCUUACUAUUUGCUAGUUUCUGAAACAAAGACAGCCUAGUGCUGGUGGAGGAUGUUGGGAAAAUAUAUUCUUUCAAAGCAUGUGUGUUUAUUUAAUUGUAAUAAAUAAUUUUUUUGAGUAAAGUCUAUUGCUAGGGAUGGCAAUGGGGAGGGGAGGGGAGGGGAGCAAUCUCCCCGUACCCAUCUCCGAUAUUUUGCGUAUGUCCCCGUCCCCUCCCCGUCCCUGUCAGAAUUACUUGAGAGAAUUUACAUCCCCUCCUUGAAUAAUAAUAGGGGAUCCCAAGGGUCCCCGAUCCCCGAAUAACUAAUAUAUUUUUUGUUUUCGAUUUUCAGUUAAUCAUAUUAAAAUAAAAAAUUCAAAUAAAAAGUACAGUUUGAAAUAUAUCUUACAUUAAUAUCCAUUACAAAAGUCACAUACAUUAAAUUAGUAAGUAACGCAGCAUGAAAGGAAUACAAACUUCUUUUACAAACUAUCGUGAAUAAAUUAAUAGUCUAAUACAAAAUUAUUACAAAUAAAAUUAAAUUUAGAUUCAAAAUUAAUUUUUUCAAUGGUGGCGUGGGCACUUUAUAAAUGUGGACUAUUCCCUUUACAGCACAAUAAUUAAGUCGGAGCAAAUCAAGAGCAAAUAUUAGAUUAGAUUAGAUUAGGUUAGAUUAAAUUAGAUAUUAAAAUUGUGAUUCGCUGUGGGCAAUUAUAACAUCUAAAAAUAAAUUAAAAAUAGAUUUAAGUUUAAAACAUUUAAUGAAUAUUAAAAUUAAAACAAAGUUUUGGGCUAAUAGAAUUUACCUUGUUUUUUUAAUGUCCUAAAUAAAAAUUUAGGACUUUAAUUAGUUAAUUAGGCCUAAAAGUUUAAUAAUAUAAAUAUUUUGAUAUUUGUUAUUUUUACCAAUAUUUAUAAUUUUAUAAUUCAAAUUUUAUAAUUUAUUUACUAGUAAUUUUAAAAAAUAAAAAUAAAAUUAAAAAUUAAAAUGGGGAAAUGGGUAGGGGAUGGGGAUUCCACCUCAUCCUCGUCCCCUCCUCGAAUAAGAAAUUGGGUAAAAAAAUUUCACUGUCCCUUCCCCGAAUAAGAAAUUGUGUAUGAAAUUAUCCUUAUACCCUCCCCGAAUAGGGAAAAUCCGCGAAGGUACCCGUCCCCGUGGAGAUUUUUGCCAUCCCUAUCUAUUGCAUAGUUUAUUUAAUUGUAAUAAAUAUCUUAAUUGCAUAAUUUUUUUAGUAAAGUCUAUUUAAUCAUAUUAUAUGUAUUUAUGUGAUCACCAUGUGGAUUCACAGAAGACAUAAAUACAAGUUAUCUUAUGAUUAAAUAAAUUAAGUUUGCAGUUGAUAAAUAAAGUUGGGCACUUUAUUUAGGUUUAAACUGUAGUAAAUUAAUUGAAUGAUUUGUCUUAAUCAUGUAUGAAUUUACUGAUGUAGUUUAACUACAUUGAGCUGGAUCACAUAUGCGAUUUAAUUAACUUUGAAAUAACUGUCAGACUUAUUAAAUCUCAUAGCUAUUAAUUUUACUGUAAUCUUAAUCUUGAGUUAGUUAUGAUUUCAUAAUUGUAAUUAUUAUUACAUUUGAGUUACCAAUAAGCGCAACACACACUUGUGGUCAAGAUUACCCAGUAUUUUGGUGGGAGAAAUUAUGAGUAUUGAAAUUAUAGAUUAACAAAGUAAAAUUUGUACGACACAUCUGGUAAUGGGUUUUCGGCACUUGAUAAUAGAAUUCUCUAGUCAGAGUGUGUCAACAUAUUUAGUAUGUUGAAAAUGAUCAUUAAAGAAAAUCAAUAAGUAUCAAGGAAUAAGAUGUUAUUAAAUCAAUUAGACAGUUGAGAUAUCGAUUUAAUUAACGAUGUGGUACAAAUGAUUAUGCAGUAAAGAAAUCAAUGUAGCAUGGUUCGAAUUAUUAUUCGAGAACACUAUCUUGGAUAUCAUACAAUUAUGGAGGUCAGUUCCAAUCUUUUAGUGGAGUAGAUUUAGAAUUAAAUAAUUUAGCUAGUUUAAUUAUAUGUCUAAUUAUUGUAUCCACUAUUGUAUGUACCAAUUUGAUUCUCAGGUUAGCUCAUUUAAUUGACUGCGCCGCUACUGGAUUAAUAAGCAAGAUAACUAACUAUUUGGGUUAAAAGUUUAAAUAUAUUAUUUAGUGCGAGGCUCCAUAUAAUGUGUUUAUUUCUAAGGGAUCUUAUGUUAUUUUACAAGGUGGGCCCUUAUGACAAGAAAAAGUAAGUAAUCGUGACUUUUGUUUUUUGGAGUCUAAGAUUUUCACUAGAUAAAGAUAUAAAAAGGUUUAUUUUUUUUCCAAAAGCAGGAGCAGCCACUUUAUACAGAUCAGAGACAAAAAAAUUUCUCUCUAAAUUUGAGAGAAAAAUUUUCUUCUGCUAAUUGCUUAUAGUGGUGAUAAAAGCCCUCACACGUCAAGUGCAGAUCAAACCUGAAUCAUAAUCCGAAAGAUUAUUUGGUGACCGAUCGUGAUCUAACUAGCGUGGUGGUAACGGAUCGUGAUCUAACCAGCGCUGUGGUAACGGAUCGUGAUCUAACAAGGGUGGUAGUGACAUAUCGUAAUCUGUGAGCUUAAAUCACUUCGUAGAAAAAAGCAAAGAUUGUUCAUUUUCUCAAAUUUUUAAGAUACGAUUUUUAAAUUAUGAAUUCUUAUAUAUUGUAUGAAAUCGAUCCAAAAAAAAAUUUUCUUUUUAAAUCUUAAAAACUGAAUUUUUUUUCUCCAACAGAUGAAUCAUCUGCUUCUUACCGUGCCUUGAAUUUCUCUUGCGGGGCUAUUUAUAGCAAUUACAGUCGAUGCGUAUGUAAAGCGCAAACAAAUGUUAUAUGACUACGAGUGGCAGUCAACAUUCCCGGAGUUCAUUAAAAACUUCUGAUUUUGGGAAGACAUCAAUGCACGUAAAUAAAAUGAAACAAGUCCUCCUCAAAAUAACAAACAAAAUGUAUUUGUAGACCGUUAAUUACCCUUAUUAAUGUAUUGAGGUAACAAGCAUGUUGUAUUAUUAUUCUUCAUCUUUCCAUCUUCUUUUUCGCUUCAUGUUCUAUUACACUGGUUUAAAAAUUCUGAAAUCAUAGCUUUCAGUUAAAAGUUAGUUUAGAUAGAAAAUGGGUCGGCUGAUUAGAGGGCUUUUGGCACAUGUUGAAUCCGAACACCAUGAGAAGGCUCCAUACACCAUGAGAAGGCUCUAUGGGGUCUUUUUUUUUUAAAAAAAAAAAUUAUAACAAGAAUCAACAAAAUACUAUACCUUUAUAAUUGCGGGGAUGAAUAGCCAUCUCAAUAUCUAUUUAAGGUGCUUGCUAAGUUACAUAAUUAUAUAACUUACAUCAACUCAACAUUUACUACUACUAAUAUAAAAAUAUAAACAAUAAAAUCUAAAUAUGUGUUAAUAGUAGUAAGUGUUGGAUUUAUGUAAAUUACAUGAUUAUAUAACUUAACAACUACCUUUAUUUAACCUUGUUUUCUCUUAUGAGAAUUCUCCUCAUAUUCGCAAGAAAGCAACCUUGUAGUAGUAUUAUUUUUACUAUUAUUAUCCGAAGCUCCUUUCAUUUGAAUGAAAUCCAGCGCAUCUAGCCACUUGUCUGAAAGUAACUGGCCCAACAAUAAAAGUAACCGUUAGAGCUUGAACGUUAAGCCAACCGUUGAGAAAGAAACCUGUUUUAAAGGAAGAGAGAAUCCGAAACCUCCAGAUCAUCGUCAACAUCAUAGUCCAUUCAUAGCUCUCUCUUAUUCACUUAUUCUCUUAUUCUUAUAUAAACCUCUCUUUUGCUGCGAUUUCUGAUCAUCAAAUCAAAUAAAGAUGGGUAUGGUGGUGGUGAUAUCCCUGCCGUUGAUCUUGUUCAGCCUGUUGCUUGGAUUUGGAUGCUAUUACUUGGGAAGAGCUAGAGGAAGACAAGAUAUCAGAACCAAUCCACAAGUUUUUGGGGUGCCAGCGCCUCCGCCAGGCACAGGCAGUGAAGCUACUACAUUCACUUACCCAUCCCCUCCUGCUGCUGCUGCUGCU